CAGUCGCCGCGGGAAUACGAAGGGUGCAAGCGUUAAUCGGAAUUACUGGGCGUAAAGGGAGCGUAGGCGGCGUGGUAAGUCAGAUGUGAAAUCCCGGGGCUCAACCCCGGAACUGCAUCCGAUACUGCCAUGCUAGAGGAUUGGAGAGGUAGCUGGAAUUCUUGGUGUAGCAGUGAAAUGCGUGGAGAUCAAGAGGAACACUCGUGGCGAAAGCGAGCUACUGGACAAUAACUGACGCUGAGGCUCGAAGGCCAGGGUAGCGAAAGGGAUUAGAUACCCCGGUAGUCCCUGUCUCUUAUAC
Molecule: ribosomal RNA, 301 nt
Filed under: uncultured bacterium
Lineage: Bacteria
Description: partial 16S ribosomal RNA
Rfam family: Bacterial small subunit ribosomal RNA
Source: RNAcentral